GGUUGUGUAGUGUAGCGGUUAUCACACUGGAUUCUGAUUGAAUCUCUGAAUGUUCCAGUGACCCCGGUUCGAUUCCGGGCACGACCU
Molecule: transfer RNA, 87 nt
Organism: Oidiodendron maius Zn
Lineage: Eukaryota; Fungi; Ascomycota; Leotiomycetes; Myxotrichaceae
Rfam family: tRNA
About the family: Transfer RNA (tRNA) molecules are approximately 80 nucleotides in length. Their secondary structure includes four short double-helical elements and three loops (D, anti-codon, and T loops).
Source: Rfam